RNAcentral lists this ribosomal RNA (460 nucleotides) under uncultured bacterium. RNAcentral's name for it is "partial 16S ribosomal RNA". It matches the Rfam family "Bacterial small subunit ribosomal RNA", at positions 338 to 795 of the family's 1533-position model. The record is from RNAcentral.
CCUACGGGUGGCAGCAGUGAGGAAUAUUGGUCAAUGGACGAGAGUCUGAACCAGCCAAGUAGCGUGAAGGAUGACUGCCCUAUGGGUUGUAAACUUCUUUUAUAUGGGAAUAAACUGUUCCACGUGUGGGCUUUUGUAUGUACCAUAUGAAUAAGGAUCGGCUAACUCCGUGCCAGCAGCCGCGGUAAUACGGAGGAUCCGAGCGUUAUCCGGAUUUAUUGGGUUUAAAGGGAGCGUAGGUGGAUUGUUAAGUCAGUUGUGAAAGUUUGCGGCUCAACCGUAAAAUUGCAGUUGAAACUGGCAGUCUUGAGUACAGUAGAGGUGGGCGGAAUUCGUGGUGUAGCGGUGAAAUGCUUAGAUAUCACGAAGAACUCCGAUUGCGAAGGCAGCUCACUGGACUGCAACUGACACUGAGGCUCGAAAGUGUGGGUAUCAAACAGGAUUAGAUACCCCAGUAAUC